CGGGUAGCGGAUGGCCGCCGGCAACGAGCAAUCAAAGCUGGAGGAAAGUCCGGGCACCGCAGGGCAUGAUGCUGGAUAACGUCCAGGCGCGGUAACGCGACAGAAAGUGCAGCAGAGAAUAGACCGCCCGCAGCAAUGCGGGUAAGGGUGAAACGGCGAGGUAAGAGCUCACCGCACGACUGGUGACAGGAGUGGCAUGGUAAACCUCAUCCGGUGCAAGACCAAGCAGGAUUCCGUUCGAAAGAACCUGGUGCGGCCCGUGCCAGCUGGAUAUCCGGGUAGGUCGCUUGAGGCGGUCGGUAACGAUUCGUCCAGAGAGAUGGUCAUCGCUCCGAUGGCAACAUUGGAGUACAGAACCCGGCUUAUAACUACUCGACAU
This 379-nucleotide RNase P RNA is filed under the name Fibrobacter sp. UWB7. Its description in RNAcentral is "Bacterial RNase P class A". It matches the Rfam family "Bacterial RNase P class A". Rfam says of the family: Ribonuclease P (RNase P) is a ubiquitous endoribonuclease, found in archaea, bacteria and eukarya as well as chloroplasts and mitochondria. Lineage: Bacteria; Pseudomonadati; Fibrobacterota; Fibrobacteria; Fibrobacterales; Fibrobacteraceae. The record is from RNAcentral.